UAGGGAAUCUUCGGCAAUGGACGAAAGUCUGACCGAGCAACGCCGCGUGAGUGAAGAAGGUUUUCGGAUCGUAAAACUCUGUUGUUAGAGAAGAACAAGGACGUUAGUAACUGAACGUCCCCUGACGGUAUCUAACCAGAAAGCCACGGCUAACUACGUGCCAGCAGCCGCGGUAAUACGUAGGUGGCAAGCGUUGUCCGGAUUUAUUGGGCGUAAAGCGAGCGCAGGCGGUUUCUUAAGUCUGAUGUGAAAGCCCCCGGCUCAACCGGGGAGGGUCAUUGGAAACUGGGAGACUUGAGUGCAGAAGAGGAGAGUGGAAUUCCAUGUGUAGCGGUUAAAUGCGUAGAUAUAUGGAGGCACACCAGUGGCGAAGGCAGCUCUCUGGUCUGUAACUGACGCUGAGGCUCGAAAGCGUGGGGAGCAAACAGG
This 429-nucleotide ribosomal RNA is filed under the name Gemmatimonadota bacterium. Its description in RNAcentral is "Gemmatimonadetes bacterium partial 16S ribosomal RNA". It matches the Rfam family "Bacterial small subunit ribosomal RNA", at positions 355 to 776 of the family's 1533-position model. The record is from RNAcentral. Lineage: Bacteria; Pseudomonadati; Gemmatimonadota.